GACGAACGCUGGCGGCGUGCUUAACACAUGCAAGUCGAGCGGUAAGGCCCUUUCGGGGUACGACGAGCGGCGAACGGGUGAGUAACACGUGGGUGACCUGCCCUCCAGCUCUGGGAGUAAGCCUCGGGAAACCGGGUACUAAUACCGGAUAUGACUCCAUGACGCAUGUUGUGGGGUGGAAAGCCUUGUGCGGCUGAGGAUGGGCCCGCGGCCUAUCAGCUUGUUGGUGGGGUGAUGGCCUACCAAGGCGACGACGGGUAGCCGGCCUGAGAGGGCGACCGGCCACACUGGGACUGAGACACGGCCCAGACUCCUACGGGAGGCAGCAGUGGGGAAUCUUGCGCAAUGGGCGAAAGCCUGACGCAGCGACGCCGCGUGAGGGAUGACGGCCUGUG
This 395-nucleotide ribosomal RNA is filed under the name uncultured bacterium. Its description in RNAcentral is "bacterial SSU rRNA". It matches the Rfam family "Bacterial small subunit ribosomal RNA", at positions 28 to 420 of the family's 1533-position model. The record is from RNAcentral.